RNAcentral lists this ribosomal RNA (257 nucleotides) under Escherichia coli. Its description in RNAcentral is "partial 16S ribosomal RNA". It matches the Rfam family "Bacterial small subunit ribosomal RNA", at positions 1 to 252 of the family's 1533-position model. The record is from RNAcentral. Lineage: Bacteria; Pseudomonadati; Pseudomonadota; Gammaproteobacteria; Enterobacterales; Enterobacteriaceae.
UUAAAUUGAAGAGUUUGAUCAUGGCUCAGAUUGAACGCUGGCGGCAGGCCUAACACAUGCAAGUCGAACGGUAACAGAAAGCAGCUUGCUGCUUUGCUGACGAGUGGCGGACGGGUGAGUAAUGUCUGGGAAACUGCCUGAUGGAGGGGGAUAACUACUGGAAACGGUAGCUAAUACCGCAUAACGUCGCAAGACCAAAGAGGGGGACCUUCGGGCCUCUUGCCAUCGGAUGUGCCUAGAUGGGAUUAGCUUGUUGG